GACGUAGGUGGCGAACGUUAUCCGGAAUUAUUGGGCGUAAAGGGUGCGUAGGUGGCCUGACAAGUUAUCAGCGGCAAAUCGAGGCUCAACCUCGUGGAAACUGAUAAUACUGUCCGGCUUGAGUGCAGGAGAGGUUAAUGGAACUCUAUGUGGAGCGGUAAAAUGCACAGAUAUAUAGAUGAACAUCAAUAACGGCGAAGGCAAUUAACUAUUCUGUCACUGACACUGAGGCACGAAAGCGUGGGGAGCAAAACGG
RNAcentral lists this ribosomal RNA (256 nucleotides) under uncultured bacterium. RNAcentral describes it as "partial 16S ribosomal RNA". It matches the Rfam family "Bacterial small subunit ribosomal RNA", at positions 524 to 776 of the family's 1533-position model. The record is from RNAcentral.